CUUUACUGCAACUUGGCAGUGAGGUUCGGAACAAUCUGCGUAGGAUAGGUAGGAGGCUACGAAGUCGGGAUUCCGGUCUCGAUGGAGCCAACGUUGAAAUACUACCCUGGCUGUUCUGGACUUCUAACCCAGGCCCCUUUACGGGGUCGGGGACACUGCCUGGUGGGCAGUUUGACUGGGGCGGUCGCCUCCCAAAAAGUAACGGAGGCGUGCGAAGGUACCCUCAGGCUGAUUGGAAACCAGCCGUAGAGUGCAAUGGCACAAGGGUGCUUAACUGUGAGAGGGACACCUCGAACAGGUGCGAAAGCAGGCCAUAGUGAUCCGGUGGUCCCGCAUGGAAGGGCCAUCGCUCAUCGGACAAAAGGUA
Molecule: ribosomal RNA, 367 nt
Filed under: uncultured organism
Description: bacterial LSU rRNA
Rfam family: Bacterial large subunit ribosomal RNA
Source: RNAcentral